UACGUAGGGUGCAAGCGUUGUCCGGAAUUAUUGGGCGUAAAGAGCUUGUAGGCGGUUUGUCGCGUCUGCUGUGAAAUUCGGGCUCAACCCCGAACUUGCAGUGGGUACGGGCAGACUAGAGUGUGGUAGGGGAGACUGGAAUUCCUGGUGAGCGGUGAAAUGCGCAGAUAUCAGGAGGAACACCGAUGGCGAAGGCAGGUCUCUGGGCCACUACUGACGCUGAGAAGCGAAAGCAUGGGGAGCGAACAGGAUAGAU
Molecule: ribosomal RNA, 256 nt
Filed under: uncultured bacterium
Lineage: Bacteria
Description: partial 16S ribosomal RNA
Rfam family: Bacterial small subunit ribosomal RNA
Source: RNAcentral